Molecule: long non-coding RNA, 776 nt
Organism: Acanthochromis polyacanthus (spiny chromis)
Lineage: Eukaryota; Metazoa; Chordata; Actinopteri; Pomacentridae
Exons: 2
Source: RefSeq, a predicted model, not a curated record
UUUUGUAUCAGUAAUACAAGUCUAAAAAACUGAUUCAAAUGAUCAAGUUAACACAAUGAAGUAAAGAGUACUGGUAAUCUGCAGCUAUUUUCAUAAUUUCAAGGUAAAAUUCUGAUGUGUGAUUUUCUAGCUUUGCAGAUGUGGAAAUCCAAUGCACUGAUUUCUUAUACACAGAUGCUUUUGGUGUUUUUUGUUGUAAAAUAAAACAAGGCAUUUAUCACUGUUGGAAAUGAUUACAGGUAUUAUUUGUAACACUUUCUAACAUUGUAUGGGCAAAGCAAUAAAUCAGUUAAUGGAUAAAAUCAUUUGUAUUACAGAUGCUAUCAACAGCAUGUCUUGUUCAUUUUAUUUAGUUGUCGGCCUUGGAUGAUGAGGUCCAGUUACCAGGAGCACUAGUCUGCAGCUUACUGGUUCCGUCCUGCAGCUCCUCCACGCUGUCCUCCUCUCUACAGACCAAAUCAAGAAAAGGGAACCAGGAAGCUGCUGUGGAUCCUCUGCAGUAUCUGGAGAGGUCAGAGGAACGGUUCUUGGAACAGAUCGGAAGACACCAAGACGUGACCUCUGCCAUUCUCCAGAACAUCCAGAAGAUGAAUGAAAACCUUGGUUGCACUGAUGGGACGCAUGGUGUCGGUGCUGGAGCAACUGUCCCAGAAUUAAACUGCAUUGUUGACUAUUGGCUUUUCUAGAAAAUAAAUCUUUUUUAGUACUUCACCUGUUUUGUAUUUUACUCAUGCACUUUGGGUGAAUAAACAGAAAUUUGUGAUGAGAGAUGCAAA